CGGGGUGCAGCAGGCGCGAAACCUUAGCAAUGUGCGAAAGCACGACUGGGUCAGUCCGAGUGAUUCCUGAUAAAGGAGUCUUUUGCUUGUCCUAAAAGCACAGGUGAAUAAGGGGUGGGCAAGUCUGGUGUCAGCCGCCGCGGUAAUACCAGCACCUCGAGUGGUCAGGACGUUUAUUGGGCCUAAAGCAUCCGUAGCCGGCUCUGCAAGUCUUCGGUUAAAUCCACCUGCUCAACAGAUGGGCUGCUGGAGAUACUACAGAGCUAGGGAGUGGGAGAGGCAGACGGUAUUCAGUGGGUAGGGGUAAAAUCCUCUGAUCCAUUGAGGACCACCAGUGGCGAAGGCGGUCUGCCAGAACACGUUCGACGGUGAGGGAUGAAAGCUGGGGGAGCAAACCGGAUUAGAUACCCGGGUAGUCCCAGCUGUAAACGAUGCAAACUCGGUGAUGCAUUGGCUUAUGGCCAAUGCAGUGCCGCAGGGAAGCCGUUAAGUUUGCCGCCUGGGAAGUACGGACGCAAGUCUGAAACUUAAAGGAAUUGGCGGGGGAGCACAAGGGCGAAUCGCGG
Molecule: ribosomal RNA, 566 nt
Filed under: uncultured archaeon
Lineage: Archaea
Description: bacterial SSU rRNA
Rfam family: Archaeal small subunit ribosomal RNA
Source: RNAcentral